AGAGAGCACAGUGGCUGCCACAAACCAGGGCAAACCCAUCACUGAACAAACUCCCAGCAUGACACCAACCACAAAGAGGUCCAGGUGGUAGCCACAGCCUUUCUGCAUAGACAGAACCAGUAGACUGUGAUCUGUUGGUCCAUGAAGAUGAGGAUAGUACAGAGCAGAGCAGGGAUAAAGGUGACGAUUGUGGUCCACCAGGGAUUUGGUCCCACAGGGUUAAUGAUCCAGCCCCGAUCAUCUCUGGUUGGCUAAGGCAGUGAAACAAAAAUUAAUGAUUGGAAGAAGGUAAUGACAAAAUGCAGACAUGAAGACAGUGGUGAAGAAGAGGACCACACACCAAAACAGGACGUCUGGAAUGUAUGGACCAUGAGGUCCACAGGCGGUGCCUUCAAACAUCCCAUGCAUGUUUUCGCAAUCCUACUGGCCCAAAAGUGAAACAGCUUCUCAAGGGCCUCAUAGAUGAAGAUGAUGCAGAUGAGCGCAGCAAACGCUUCCUCUGUGAAACGUGUGAUAUAACAGACGAGCGAGCUGGCAUCAGUGGCCACCAGGAGGAGACAGAAGAAAGAUGUCCACAGACCAAUGCAGGCCCUCAGAGAGAGACCUGGACAGUGAUUCUUACCACACGUCCCUCUGUAGCUUCACCUAGGAGUCCCCCAAAGGUGAUGACUGGUGACAUGCAUGCACAGUAAAGGAAGAGAAAAGAGGCCAGACACUGCAGACUGAUGGCAUCUGUGAAGUCAGAAAGCUUAACAGAAGAACCAACAAAUCGCCGGAACAGGAGAGUACCUGGUGGUGAUGGGAACCUCGGCAAGGCCAUUCAGCAGCACAGCAGGGGCCAGACGGACAAAUGCUACCACGGGGCGUUCUAGAAACUCCAGCUCUCCAACCAGCACGUUGGACGCCUCUGCACCAGGGGGGAUCUUCUUCAUGAAGUGAAGAUCGAUCUGUGAUUUCAUCCAGCUCAGUAAACAGAGCAUGGGGGAUGUGCUCCUCAUCGCCAUCCUCUGUCCCCAAGAGAAACUGCACUCUCUGAGCUGGUGUGUCUGCUGCAGGAAAUAGUUAAGCUGUGGAAUCCCUUUCCUUGGACCUUUUCCUAUGUCUGUGUCCAUGGUGUCGGUGGCGUCGGUGAGACCUCCUGCCUAGAGGCACAUGAACCCCAAUGUAAAGAGUGCGGUGACCUGGAAGCAACAAGGAGAAGAAGAAGGAGGCCGUGGAAUUGGUGUGAAUGACAGCAGGUUCAGAUGUGGGAACAUCACGGGAAGAAUGUAAAUAUGAGACACGAGACAAGCCACUGGCAUCACUGACCGUUAAGACCAGGCCUGAGCAAACCUGCAGCCUGCGGGCCAAAUAAACUGCAUUUACAAUUGAUGCCACUAGAUGACGAUAGAUGCACUUUGUCUUUGCUGGAGGGUGGACUAUGACUUAACUGCCAGGGUCCCCAGGUAAUGGACCUUUCCAGUUAUUCAGAAGGACGAUGUCAAGUCAAAAUCCAGAACUACUUGCUAAUAGCUCAAGCAUUGCCUUUUUGGAGGCCAAUUGACAGGACUGUUGCAUGCUGGAACAAUUGUAUGAGUUGACUCACCACAUCCUUGCUUUCUUGGGAACUUUGUUCCUGCAAAUAAAAAGCCAAGCAUUAACAUGGAUGCAGGUUGUUAUAAGAGUUUUCCUGUCAAACCUGUAGCAAAUCGUUUUGUACUCACAACCUCAAUCAGUACUGACUAAUAAUCAGUUCAUAAUUCACAGACAACAUUUCAGGAGUCAGGAGAAAUAUCUGUCACUGCUCCAUUGUGCAUGAUCAUGAAAAAUAGUUAUUAUUUUUGACAUGCUGACGGGCUGUGUGUCGACAUGUCUGGUUAAUAAAAAAAAGGAGCUGUAUAUCCUAUGUACUGAAGAGCAAUAAACAGUUAAGACAAAUAACUGUAUGUGGAUUUAUCCACAGCCAAUUCUUUGUCCAAUUGGACAUAUAUGUGACACGUAUGCUGUGACUUCACU
Long non-coding RNA from Cynoglossus semilaevis (tongue sole), 1995 nucleotides. RefSeq lists it as uncharacterized. Lineage: Eukaryota; Metazoa; Chordata; Actinopteri; Pleuronectiformes; Cynoglossidae. The record is from RefSeq and is a predicted model, not a curated record. The transcript is spliced from 10 exons.